UCCCAGCUGUAAACUAUGCAAACUCAGUGAUGCACUGGCUUAUGGCCAGUGCAGUGUUGCAGGGAAGCCGUUAAGUUUGCCGCCUGGGAAGUACGUACGCAAGUAUGAAACUUAAAGGAAUUGGCGGGGGAGCACCACAAGGGGUGAAGCCUGCGGUUCAAUUGGAGUCAACGCCAAAAAUCUUACCCGGAGAGACAGCAGAAUGAAGGUCAAGCUGAAGACUUUACCAGACA
Molecule: ribosomal RNA, 233 nt
Filed under: uncultured bacterium
Lineage: Bacteria
Description: partial 16S ribosomal RNA
Rfam family: Archaeal small subunit ribosomal RNA
Source: RNAcentral